UUUACCACUCAUCUGCCAGAGUAAGUGCACUGGGAAAGGAAGAAGCUAUUUUUUAAAAUACACUUUAAUAACAAAAUUGUUUCUUCAUGAUCUAGUAUAUAUGGCAUGUUUUUGUGAUUUUUUUGCUUACAGUUACCAUUGUCAUUAAAGUAAAAAUUAAACAUAUAGAAGGACAACUGUAAACGGCUCUAAAUGAUGAUAGAAUAUUUCAUUUUUUUCAUCACUGAAUCAUUCUCAUUCUAUUGGUUUCCAAAAAAAAAUAUUUAUACUAAAAACAAGUACAGAUGUGAACAAAGAUACAUUCAUUUUUGCAUAAUGAAG
Molecule: long non-coding RNA, 321 nt
Filed under: Bos taurus (domestic cattle)
Lineage: Eukaryota; Metazoa; Chordata; Mammalia; Artiodactyla; Bovidae
Description: long non-coding RNA NONBTAT011331
Source: RNAcentral